UACGGAGGGUGCAAGCGUUGUUCGGAUUUACUAGGCGUAAAGCGCGUGUAGGCGUCUUAGUAAGCCUUAACUUAAAACCUACGGCUUAACUGUAGGAUGCGUUGAGGAACUACUAGGAUUGAGUUUAAGAGAGGAGAGUAGAAUUCCUGGUGUAGCGGUGAAAUGCGUAGAUAUUAGGAAGAAUACCUGUGGCGAAGGCGACUCUCUGGCUUAAAACUGACGCUGAGACGCGAAAGCGUGGGGAGCGAACAGGAUUAGAUACCCGCGUA
RNAcentral lists this ribosomal RNA (269 nucleotides) under uncultured prokaryote. RNAcentral's name for it is "partial 16S ribosomal RNA". It matches the Rfam family "Bacterial small subunit ribosomal RNA", at positions 524 to 792 of the family's 1533-position model. The record is from RNAcentral.